GUCUCAUGAGAUCUGAUGGUUUUAUAAGGGGAAACCCCUUUUGCUUGGCUCUCAUUCUCUCUUGGCUGCCACCAGGUAAGACAUGCCUUUCGCCUUCCACCAUGAUUGUGAGGCCUUCCCAGCCACGUGGAACUGGAGGAUAGGGAGAAGAUGUGCCUCGCUAUUGAAGAUCCAAUGCUCCAGUGGAAGAAGAUCGUCGUCAGAAAAUAUUAGGUACAAAUAUCUGUCUAGUAUGGAAGAAGAUGGGAUGACUCCACUGACAACUCUCUAGAGAGAAAUGAUCCUACAUUUCUGUAGUUGUCUGAAUUUAAUGAAUAUUUGGAAAACAGAUGGGUUGGGCAGUGUGAGGAUGAACAUUUAGGUAACAACCUAAACCAACCUGCCUUCCACUUUGUUGGUUACCACUAAGAUGGCUGCUGUUUGUGUUUUCUUUUUCCCUUUCAGAGCCCACUUUCUUUCUUUUGUUUGUUUCUAUUUUUCUUUAACCUUUUUCCAGCUUUACCGAUGUAUGACAAAUACAAAUAGUAUAUACUGGAAGGUGUACAGUGUGAUGUUUUGAUAUACACUACUUCUGUGGAUAUACACCAUCUUCUGUGGUGGAUAUACAUCAUCUUCUGAUGUGGAUACACAUCAUCUUCUGUGGAUAUACACCAAGAAUUAGGAUUGCUGGAUCAUAUGGUAGCUCUAUUUUUAAUUUUUUGAGAAACCUCCAUACUGUUUUCCAUAAUGGCUAUAUCAAUUUUCAUUGCCACCAACAGUGUACAAAGGUUCCCUUUAUUCUGCAUCCUCACUAAGACUGAUUACCUCUUGAAUUUUUGAUAAUAGCCAUUUAAAAAGGUAUGAGGUGAUAUCUCACUGUGGUUCUAAUCUGCAUUUCCCUGAUGAUUUGUGAUGUUGAGCAUCUUUUCACUACUGGCCAUCUGUACGUCUUCUUUGGAAAAAUGUCUCUUCAGGUCCUUUGCCUAUUUUGAAAUCAGGUUGUUUUUCUGCUACUGAAUUGUAAGUUCCUUAUAUAUUUUGGAUAUUAACCCCUUAUCAGAUAUAUGGUUUGCACACAUUUUUGUUGUGUUUUUAGUUGAUUGUUUCCUUUGCUGUAAGGAAACUUUUUAGUUUGAUGUAGUUUCAUGUGUUUAUGUUUGCUUUUGUUGCCUGUGUUUUUGGGUCGAAUCCAAAAAAUCAUUGCCAAGCUCAAUGUCAAGGAGCUUUUCCCCUGUUGUUUUCUCCUAGGAGUUUUAUGGUUUCAGGUCUUACAUUUAAGUCUUUAAUUCAUUUUGAGUUGUUUUUUUUUUUGUGCUGUUUAUAUUUUGAAAUUACAUUUGUUGCUCUGCUAGUUACCAGGCAUAUUCAUCUCUAGGAAAGUUAU
Molecule: long non-coding RNA, 1363 nt
Filed under: Homo sapiens (human)
Lineage: Eukaryota; Metazoa; Chordata; Mammalia; Primates; Hominidae
Description: PREDICTED lncRNA (TCONS_00227130)
Source: RNAcentral